GUUAUUUGUUUAUGCAGUAAUAUUUCUCAUAACUGGGAGAAUCAGUUCAUCUGUUGUCAACUCUCAAACAGGAAAGACUGACAUGUUGUUGUUAGUUCUGUAUUUGCAGUUAAGGGUAAGGCAUGCUACUCACUUCUGAGCCCGCUGCAGCUUUGCUAGUUCUUUCUUUGCUGCACUUGACCCUAUUACCGGAGAGCAAUCAAGAUGGGACGACAAAGACAGUUGAUUUGUGCCAAAAAUGCAGAACAUCUUUUUACAAACAGACAUGCCCUUCACAACAACUUUGCGAAUGUGAUUUGACCAUGAUAAUUGACCAUCCAGUGUUAUACCUAGGAAUUUAGCUUCCUGAACGACAUGAAAUCGCAAAACUUGUGCACCACGUCAUACACAAUCGCCCUCUAGGCCACCAUAAUUACUCCAUUCUUCAACUGGUCAUUCAGUACAGUACCGUUUCCUCUGAAUUAAACAGCAUGCUGUCAUACUGAAUUACACCCCUGAACAAUAUACACUGCAGUUAAUAAACAAUAUGGGUGUGACCAUUUGAAAUCUCACUAUGCAGUACAGUACCGUUUCCGUAGGUAACUGUUGAUAUAAAGCCACUUAACAGGCACAAGUUCAAUCACAUUCAAAGAAUAAAAGAGACAGUAAACUUUCUCUGGGGACAGGCUUGAAGCAUAGCAGUGCUCUGCUCUACAUGUUGCAGAUAUCAGAAGAGGUGCCCUACACAUUCAAUUUAAAGAUGGCCACAGAAGGCUGGUACCAGUCUCCAGGUUCUGCAAGAGAGCAAUUCAUGAAAACUGAACUUAAUCUACGACAUACUGGAUUCAGGAGCUAAAAUUUUUUUUUUUAACCUUUUUUUCCUUCAAUGAUGCAGACAUUUUUUGGUAUCCUUCCCCAGAUCUGUGCCUCGACACAAUCCUGUCUCGGAGCUCUACGGAUCAUUCCAUGGCUUGGUUUUUGUCUGACAUGUGUGUGCGCCUUUCCAAAUCAUGUCCAAUCAAUUGAAUUUCACAGGUGGACUGCACUCAAGUUGUAGAUAAUUGACCUCAGAUGCAUCCUUUUUCCAUUUGAGUCUCAUAGCAAAGGGUCUGAAUACUUAUGUAAAUAAUGUUUUUUGAUUUGUAAUAAAUUCGCAAAAA
Oncorhynchus tshawytscha (Chinook salmon) is the source of this 1139-nucleotide long non-coding RNA. NCBI's taxonomy places the organism in Eukaryota, Metazoa, Chordata, Actinopteri, Salmoniformes, Salmonidae. The record is from Ensembl.